CCUACGGGAGGCAGCAGUGGGGGAUAUUGCACAAUGGGGGAAACCCUGAUGCAGCGACGCCGCGUGAGUGAAGAAGUAUUUCGGUAUGUAAAGCUCUAUCAGCAGGGAAGAAAAUGACAGUACCUGACCAAUAAGCCCCGGCUAACUACGUGCCAGCAGCCGCGGUAAUACGUAGGGGGCCAGCGUUAUCCGGAUUUACUGGGUGUAAAGGGGGCGUAGACGGUUAUGUAAGUCUGGAGUGAAAGCCCGGGGCCCAACCCCGGGAUUGCAUUGGAAACUGUGUAACUGGAGUACAGGAGGGGCAGGCGGAAUUCCUGGUGUAGCGGUGAAAUGCGUAGAUAUCAGGAGGAACACCGGCGGCGAAGGCGGCCUACUGGACUGAAACUGACGUUGAGGCUCGAAAGCGUGGGGAGCAAACAGGAUUAGAUACCCUGGUAGUC
Molecule: ribosomal RNA, 440 nt
Filed under: uncultured bacterium
Lineage: Bacteria
Description: partial 16S ribosomal RNA
Rfam family: Bacterial small subunit ribosomal RNA
Source: RNAcentral